RNAcentral lists this ribosomal RNA (433 nucleotides) under uncultured bacterium. Its description in RNAcentral is "partial 16S ribosomal RNA". It matches the Rfam family "Bacterial small subunit ribosomal RNA", at positions 29 to 507 of the family's 1533-position model. The record is from RNAcentral.
AACGAACGCUGGCGGCAUGCCUAACACAUGCAAGUCGAACGAGACCUUCGGGUCUAGUGGCGCACGGGUGCGUAACGCGUGGGAACCUGCCCUUAGGUUCGGAAUAACUCCCCGAAAGGGGUGCUAAUACCGGAUAAUGUCUUCGGACCAAAGAUUUAUCGCCUUUGGAUGGGCCCGCGUUGGAUUCGCUAGUUGGUAGGGUAAAAGCCUACCAAGGCGACGAUCCAUAGCUGGUCUGAGAGGAUGAUCAGCCACACUGGGACUGAGACACGGCCCAGACUCCUACGGGAGGCAGCAGUGGGGAAUAUUGGACGAUGGGCGAAAGCCUGAUCCAGCAAUGCCGCGUGAGUGAUGAAGGCCUUAGGGUUGUAAAGCUCUUUUACCCGGGAUGAUAAUGACAGUACCGGGAGAAUAAGCUCCGGCUAACUCCGUG